This 411-nucleotide ribosomal RNA is filed under the name uncultured bacterium. RNAcentral describes it as "bacterial SSU rRNA". It matches the Rfam family "Bacterial small subunit ribosomal RNA", at positions 126 to 518 of the family's 1533-position model. The record is from RNAcentral.
UAGCCCACUAAGACGAGGAUAACUAACUGGAACGGUAGGCUAAUACUGGAUAGUAUAUGAAGUCGCAUGGCUUUAUAUUUAAAGGUGCUCUCAAGCAUCACUUAUGGAUGGACCUGCGGCGCAUUAGCUAGUUGGUGAGGUAACAGCCCACCAAGGCGAGGAUGCGUAGCCGAACUGAGAGGUUGAUCGGCCACAUUGGAACUGAGACACGGUCCAAACUCCUACGGGAGGCAGCAGUAAGGAGUUUUCGGCAAUGGGGGAAACCCUGACCGAGCAACGCCGCGUGAGCGAUGACGGCCCUAUGGGGUUUGUAAAGCUCUGUUGUAAGCCAUGAAUGGUAGCCUGAGGAAAUGCAAGCUAUUUGACGACAGCUUACCAGAAAGCCACGGCUAACUACGUGCCAGCCGCAGC